GAGCGGUAGAGGAGCGUCGUGUAAGCCGAUGAAGGUGUGUUGAGAAGCAUGCUGGAGGUAUCACGAGUGCGAAUGCUGACAUGAGUAACGAUAAAGGGAGUGAAAAACUCCCUCGCCGGAAGACCAAGGGUUUCUGUUCGACGCUAAUCGGAGCAGAGUGAGUCGGCCCCUAAGGCGAGGCCGAAAGGCGUAGUCGAUGGGAAACGGGUCAAUAUUCCCGUACCGGACAUGAUUGCGAUGGGGGGACGGAGAAGGCUAGGUGAGCCAGGCGUUGGUUGUCCUGGUGAAAGUGAGUAGGCUUGGGUCUUAGGUAAAUCCGGGACCCUUCAAGGCCGAGACACGAAACGAACGGACCACGGUCCGGAAGUCAUUGAUGCCACGCUUCCAGGAAAAGCCUCUAAGCUUCAGAUCAUGUGCGACCGUACCCCAAACCGACACAGGUGGUCAGGGUGAGAAUCCCAAGCGCUUGAGAGAACUCGGGUGAAGGAACUAGGCAAAAUGGUGCCGUAACUUCGGGAGAAGGCACGCCGGCGUAGGGUGAGAGGACUUGCUCCUUCAGCCCGAACCGGUCGAAGAUACCAGGUGGCUGCAACUGUUUAGUAAAAACACAGCACUCUGCUAACGCGCAAGCGGACGUAUAGGGUGUGACGCCUGCCCGGUGCCGGAAGGUUAAGUGAUGGUGUUAGGAUUCGUCCGAAGCUCUUGAUCGAAGCCCCGGUAAACGGCGGCCGUAACUAUAACGGUCCUAAGGUAGCGAAAUUCCUUGUCGGGUAAGUUCCGACCUGCACGAAUGGCGUAAUGAUGGCCACGCUGUCUCCACCCGAGACUCAGUGAAAUUGAAAUCGCCGUGAAGAUGCGGUGUACCCGCGGCUAGACGGAAAGACCCCGUGAACCUUUACUAUAGCUUCACACUGGACGCUGAUGUUGCCUGUGUAGGAUAGCUGGGAGCUUAGAAACCCGGACGCCAGUUCGGGUGGAGCCAACCUUGAAAUACCAGCCUGGCAUCAUUGGCGUUCUCACUCAGGUCCGUGAUCCGGAUCGAGGACAGUGUGUGGUGGGUAGUUUGACUGGGGCGGUCUCCUCCCAAAGAGUAACGGAGGAGCACGAAGGUACCCUCAGCACGGUCGGACAUCGUGCAAUGAGUGCAAGAGCAUAAGGGUGCUUGACUGCGAGACAGACACGUCGAGCAGGUGCGAAAGCAGGUUCUAGUGAUCCGGUGGUUCUGUAUGGAAGGGCCAUCGCUCAACGGAUAAAAGGUACUCCGGGGAUAACAGGCUGAUACCGCCCAAGAGUUCACAUCGACGGCGGUGUUUGGCACCUCGAUGUCGGCUCAUCACAUCCUGGGGCUGAAGUCGGUCCCAAGGGUAUGGCUGUUCGCCAUUUAAAGUGGUACGCGAGCUGGGUUUAGAACGUCGUGAGACAGUUCGGUCCCUAUCUGCCGUGGGCGUUGGAUGUUUGAGAAGAGCUGCUCCUAGUACGAGAGGACCGGAGUGGACGACCCUCUGGUGUUCCGGUUGUCACGCCAGUGGCAUUGCCGGGUAGCUAUGGUCGG
RNAcentral lists this ribosomal RNA (1552 nucleotides) under Halomonas sp. JCM 19032. Its description in RNAcentral is "bacterial LSU rRNA". It matches the Rfam family "Bacterial large subunit ribosomal RNA", at positions 1223 to 2758 of the family's 2925-position model. Lineage: Bacteria; Pseudomonadati; Pseudomonadota; Gammaproteobacteria; Oceanospirillales; Halomonadaceae. The record is from RNAcentral.